UAUGAAGUGUUGUUUUACUUCCUGAGGGC
Molecule: non-coding RNA, 29 nt
Filed under: Mus musculus (house mouse)
Lineage: Eukaryota; Metazoa; Chordata; Mammalia; Rodentia; Muridae
Source: RNAcentral